UUAACCCUGCAGGAAACAACAAGAGGAGGCUGGGGGCCAUCUGUGCAGCCAGUGUGGACAUCGUCAAAGGCCCUUUUGUGGCUGAGCCUGGCCUGGCCUGGACAAUACCUAAGUUUAUGAGGCAGUCUAUGAGGCCUCUACAAACAAAACACGCUCAAUAAAUGUCAAUUACUGUGGAACCUUCAGCAAAUUACCUCACAUCUCAACCUGCUUCUUGAAAAUGGGGCAGGAGAAGCUUGGGUUCUGCCCAUAUCCAAACACUCCAAAGGGAAAGGACUGUAAUAGGAUGUCUAUAUUUAUUGACAGUGCUACCCAUCACCCAAUUGGAAAUCUAAGUAACUGAAGCCCCACUUGGUUAUCUGACCUGGAGCAGAGACCCUCUCAACUACAUCACAAACGAAUAGUCAUCCAACCUUUAUCUGAACUUCUCGAGUGAUAAUGAAUUCGCUAGGUGGAAAGAGCAAAAGGGCUUGGAUCAGAAGGGAUUGAGUUCAAAUCCAGCCUCAAACACUUAUUAGCAGUGUGACCCUAGGCACUUCACCUGUGUCUGCCUCAGUUUCCUCUACUGUAAAAUAAAGAUUAUGAUAGUACCUACUCUCCAGGCUUGUUAUGAUUUCCUACCCAACUGCACUCACUCUGGACGUCGGUAGAACUCAUUCUAAUCAGCUUCUCCACUCGAAUUCAUUUUGUAUUUCUUCAAAUUCUCUGCCAUGCCCCCACACUGAGUAUCUUCCCUCACCCCUUUUCAGCUUUCUUUUGUAUAUUGUCUU
Molecule: long non-coding RNA, 770 nt
Organism: Vombatus ursinus (common wombat)
Lineage: Eukaryota; Metazoa; Chordata; Mammalia; Diprotodontia; Vombatidae
Exons: 3
Source: RefSeq, a predicted model, not a curated record